UACUGACGCUACUGCUCGAAGGUGCGGGUACCGAACAGGAUUAGAUACCCUGGUAGUCCGCACAGUAAACGAUGGAUGCCCGCGGUCCGCUCUUUGGGGUAGGCCGCCAAGCGAAAGCGUUAAGCAUCCCACCUGGGGAGUACGCCGGCAACGGUGAAACUCAAAGGAAUUGACGGGGGCCCGCACAAGCGGAGGAACAUGUGGUUUAAUUCGAUGAUACGCGAGGAACCUUACCCGGGCUUGAAACAUGGACGCACUCCGGCAGAGACGCCGGAUUUCUUCGGACGUCCAUGUAGGUGCUGCAUGGUUGUCGUCAGCUCGUGCCGUGAGGUGUCGGCUCAAGUGCCAUAACGAGCGCAACCCCUCUCCGCAGUUGCCACCGGGUAAUGCCGGGCACUCUGCGGACACUGCCAUCGCAAGAUGUGAGGAAGGCGGGGACGACGUCAAAUCAGCACGGCCCUUACGUCCGGGGCCACACACGUGUUACAAUGGGGGGCACAGAAGGCAGCUGGCUAGCGAUAGUCCGGCGAAUCCCCAAAUCCCCUCCCAGUUCGGACUGGAGCCUGCAACCCGGCUCCACGAAGCUGGAUUCGCUAGUAA
Molecule: ribosomal RNA, 600 nt
Filed under: uncultured bacterium
Lineage: Bacteria
Description: bacterial SSU rRNA
Rfam family: Bacterial small subunit ribosomal RNA
Source: RNAcentral